GUAUCAUUAAGUGAAUACAUAGCUUAAUGAAGGUAACCCAGGGAACUGAAACAUCUAAGUACCUGGAGGAAGAGAAAGAAAAAUCGAUUUUCUUAGUAGCGGCGAGCGAAAGGGAAAGAGCCCAAACCGGAAACUUGUUUCCGGGGUUGAGGACAUAACAUAAAGAGAAGUAAUGGCUAAUUGAAGAGAACUGGAAAGUUCCACCGUAGAAGGUAAUAGUCCUGUAAAUGAAAGCUAGUAUAAUCGAGUUAUGAUCCAGAGUACCACGAGACACGUGAAACCUUGUGGGAAGCUGGGAGGACCACCUCCCAAGGCUAAAUACUACCUGAUGACCGAUAGUGAAGCAGUACCGUGAGGGAAAGGUGAAAAGAACCCCGGGAGGGGAGUGAAAUAGAACCUGAAACCGUGUGCCUACAACCGCUCAGAGCCCCUUAUGAGGGUGA
Molecule: ribosomal RNA, 443 nt
Filed under: Clostridium perfringens
Lineage: Bacteria; Bacillati; Bacillota; Clostridia; Eubacteriales; Clostridiaceae
Description: bacterial LSU rRNA
Rfam family: Bacterial large subunit ribosomal RNA
Source: RNAcentral